UACACGAACUAGGACAACCUUUGCAUUGUAAGGGGUAAACCUUACAGCAAGACAACCUACAGUUCGUGAUUGAUCUAAAAAUUUUAAUUUUAGAUUUAAUAAUUAAAUUAUAAAUUAGAUCUAAUCUAAAAAAUAAUCUAAGUAUGUAUAAAUAAUCAUGUAAUAAACAAUCUAGGCUCUGAUACCAAUUGAAGGAACC
Molecule: long non-coding RNA, 199 nt
Filed under: Elaeis guineensis (African oil palm)
Lineage: Eukaryota; Viridiplantae; Streptophyta; Magnoliopsida; Arecales; Arecaceae
Description: long non-coding RNA (EGUI_LNC052345)
Source: RNAcentral